CAGUUCAAGAAAGCUGUG
Molecule: small nuclear RNA, 18 nt
Filed under: Arabidopsis thaliana (thale cress)
Lineage: Eukaryota; Viridiplantae; Streptophyta; Magnoliopsida; Brassicales; Brassicaceae
Description: snRNA_08838
Source: RNAcentral